CUCCUGGUAGCUCAGCUGGAUAGAGCAUCUGCCUUCUAAGCAGAGGGUCGCAGGUUCGAAUCCUGCCCAGGAGGCCA
Molecule: transfer RNA, 77 nt
Filed under: Gammaproteobacteria bacterium
Lineage: Bacteria; Pseudomonadati; Pseudomonadota; Gammaproteobacteria
Also listed under: 1 other name
Description: tRNA-Arg
Rfam family: tRNA
About the family: Transfer RNA (tRNA) molecules are approximately 80 nucleotides in length. Their secondary structure includes four short double-helical elements and three loops (D, anti-codon, and T loops).
Source: RNAcentral